This is a non-coding RNA of Anas platyrhynchos (mallard), 2919 nucleotides long. NCBI's taxonomy places the organism in Eukaryota, Metazoa, Chordata, Aves, Anseriformes, Anatidae. The record is from RefSeq and is a predicted model, not a curated record.
CAAAAGAACAGGCACAGGUUUUAAUAUAAACACUGUGUAAAUAAAGGUCCUUGCAGUACAGCUCAUAGCACAAGAUCUCCAGUUGCUGCAGCAUGAACUUUAUCACAGAUGGGCUCUUUUUUUUUUCCCAGCUCCCUCUCUCUGUGGCUGCUGUGUGGAGCCACCCCCAUGGCAAAGGCUGCAGCCAGCACAUCACUGCUGCUCGCCCAACAGUUUCUGAAGCCCUCUGCUGCCUUGGAGCUUGUCAGGGUCACUGACAUAAUUUUUCCUUCUUCCACUUCAUUUGCUGCAUUGCUCCCUGGAACAGCAUCCCUGCCAGGCAGGAAUGCUGUAAUCCCCCGUCCAGCUCCACCAACCUUGUUAUCCUGCAUCCACACCUCCAGGAUUUUGCAGAGUCUGUUCCCUUCCCUUUCCUGGCUCUGACUGUGUGACUGUUGUUUUCCACCUGUUCCUGAUCUGUGCAUGUGUUUUCACCCUUCAGAUGUUUAUUUCACACCGAGCUUUUCCCUACAAAUUAUCCAUACCACAGGUGAUGGCAGCUCUACUGUAAACCAGCUGCUGUUUCCUUCAGUGCUAUAGCCUAAACACACUCAAAGGAAAUCUAGCUGACACCACGACAAAACAGGACCAUCUCAGCUGCGUUUGUGGAUGUGCUUGGGUUUUCCUGCUCAUCCUGCAGCAACAUUCAGUGCCUCAGGAACUCAGAUCAUGGGUCUUGAAAGAGCUGUAAACUGCCUCCAGCCUUACUUUGGCUAGCAUGAAGACAUACCCCACUUCCCAUCAAGAACAAGUUCCUGAAAAGUGUGAGACAGCCCUGAAAUGGAUAGCAAAGCAAUUUUCCCAUCAGAAUUAAUGAGCAGAAUACUCCUUGAGAUGAUCUUGGCUGCUCUGUCUGAGCGCCCAACCAUGAUCCGCCUUUCUGUCCUUCACACUCGAUUGACCUGACUGAUCUUGAUUCAACCAAGGAAGAUGAUGCUGAAUGUGAGCGUUCAGAAAGAGGCACUGAAAACACUCACAGGAAAAGACUUGUGCUGGGUGUUCGUUCUCACAGAUAAAGCAGCCAAGGCCUUUCUGAACACUGAACUCUCCAGAAAGCCUGUGUCCCCUCCAGGGAAUGGUCUGGAGGAUCCUGCUUUUGCCUCUUCAUCCUCUACAUCAUUAUGCACCAUCCCUAUGUAUUUAAGAUGUAUUUCUGAAGUCUCUGACACAUCCUCCUCUGUGUCAUUAGUUCUGAUGGGUAAAACUGCUUCACUAUCCACUGAACUCAGUCACAUCUCGUGAGAGCCUGAAUACUUGAUGUAAAAUUUCCGAGAGUGUUGAGCUGCUUCUUUUUAACAGCCACAUUUUCCUCUCCCUCAUCCUCAGACAAAUUAAGAACUUGUCAAGCUGGUGGAUGGAGAAUGUGGUAGUGAGGAUGGUGAAUGGAGCAGGAGCCUGAAUUAUGGACUGUGGAUCUCCAGAGAGAUGGAGAGGAUGAUGGACAAAGGGAUGCUACUGGAGAACAGCAGGGUGUGUGCAUGUCCCCAGCUUGAUUUUAACACAUUGUUAAGUUUAGGUCCAGGCCCUUUCUCCUAUCCAUGGUUUCUGAACAGAGAUGUAUAUGCUUUCUGUUGGUUGCACAGGACAACUCUGCUACACGUGUCAUUUACUUCUGAAGUGUGGGCUGUGGGUUUAAUGCUCAGGCUGCGGUUUCACAACCAUUGUCAGAUGGAGAAGGAGCUGCUCAACCAUCUCCUCCCCACUCCCUCCAGCCCCUUUCCUUGUUGGGCGCUCAGGAAGGAAGGAGAGCUGGCCUGGCUGGCUGCUAAGGCAGCUUUUCUGUGGGACCAGCUGCCUUCUAGCCCUAAAGCUGCAUGAUACACCUGAUAUAAUCAAACAACUCUGCCAGCUACAGCAGCUGGGAGAGAGGGGUGAGAGCUGAGAGAGCAGCAGCCCUGCAGCCCCCAGACAGGAGGUCGAUGCGCUGAGCAAGCUGCCAUUUUUAUCUGCCUGCAAUUGCUCUUCUUCAUGACUGGGAUUCCUUGGCUCUCACGGGACGGAUUUCUUCCAUGGUGUCAUUCACAAGAACUCACAUCAAACUGCUUUAUCAUCUGUCUGCAGUGUUUUUGCUGCUGUUAUCAAGCAGUAACACAGCUCAGAGAGGCAACUAUUGUGAUCCCAGAAGACUUUGAAUUUACGGGUUAAAAUAAUCAGAGACAUUUAAAAAAAAAGAGUAUUUGCACUCAUCCUCACCACUUGGUUGUACUCCACUCAAAAAUGAUCAGGUUAUUGCUGUUUCUGUGCCUAAUGCAAUAUGUUUUAGCAGGAUAUUCAGUCACUAGUAAUUUCAGCAUACAAGAUAUUCCUCCUCAUUUUGAAUCAAGGAUCAAUUGGCUUGAUGGAUGAAGCUGAUAUUUUUCUGGCCAGACUGUUUGCUUUACAUGAUAGAUUUGCUCUGGCUGCAACAUUUUAUUUCUCAUUAAAUUAGCCAGCCAACAUUCACAGAUGAGGGAUUCAACUGAUUUAGCUGUAAUUUAUAUAGAGCUCCAACUACAUCUUUCCAGCACAGGUUGUGGGGGUUUGCGACGAGCCAGGUUCUCUCCUGUUGAAAAGAGCAACAGCCAUAGUCCAAGCCAGCUCCUCAGUGUUUAUUUUGAUGCAGUAUUUGUCCCACUUUAAUUGUACUGAUAACAGUUUAAGUAUCAUUCUCACCCCUCGUGUUGAUGCAAUGUAUGUGUUUACAGCUAUUCAAGACCAGAAGAUGCUUAAGUCAAUAUCAGAUGGCUUCAUUCCAACACAAGAAAGUCAGCACUUGAGUUUUAGCUGGUGAAGUGUAAGGUGACAUUUAAACAAAACCAGCUGGCCCCAGGAGCCACACCGGGUCCUUGUCCUGCUUAUAGUAUGCUCUGCUUGGCACCCACCUGCUCACUCAUCAUUUUC